This 472-nucleotide ribosomal RNA is filed under the name uncultured bacterium. RNAcentral describes it as "partial 16S ribosomal RNA". It matches the Rfam family "Bacterial small subunit ribosomal RNA", at positions 28 to 507 of the family's 1533-position model. The record is from RNAcentral.
GACGAACGCUGGCGGCGUGCUUAACACAUGCAAGUCGAACGCUGACGCUUGGUGCUUGCACUGGGUGGAUGAGUGGCGAACGGGUGAGUAAUACGUGAGUAACCUGCCCUUGACUCUGGGAUAAGCCUGGGAAACUGGGUCUAAUACUGGAUACGACAUGCCACUGCAUGGUGGUGUGUGGAAAGGGUUUUACUGGUUUUGGAUGGGCUCACGGCCUAUCAGCUUGUUGGUGGGGUAAUGGCCUACCAAGGCGACGACGGGUAGCCGGCCUGAGAGGGUGACCGGCCACCCUGGGACUGAGACACGGCCCAGACUCCUACGGGAGGCAGCAGUGGGGAAUAUUGCACAAUGGGCGGAAGCCUAAUGCAGCGACGCCGCGUGAGGGAUGACGGCCUUCGGGUUGUAAACCUCUUUCAGCACGGAAGAAGCGAGAGUGACGGUACGUGCAGAAGAAGCGCCGGCUAACUACGUG